This is a non-coding RNA of Ovis aries (sheep), 73 nucleotides long. The record is from Rfam. NCBI's taxonomy places the organism in Eukaryota, Metazoa, Chordata, Mammalia, Artiodactyla, Bovidae.
CCCCUGGUGGUUCAGACAGUAAAGUGUCUGCCUACAAUGCAGGAGACCCGGGUUCAAUCCCUGGGUCAGGGUG